UGGGGAAUAUUGGACAAUGGAGGGAACUCUGAUCCAGCAAUUCUGUGUGUGUGAAGAAGGUUUUAGGACUGUAAAACACUUUUAGUAGGGAAGAAAAAAAUGACGGUACCUACAGAAGAAGCAACGGCUAAAUACGUGCCAGCAGCCGCGGUAAUACGUAUGUUGCGAGCGUUAUCCGGAAUUAUUGGGCUUAAAGGGCAUCUAGGCGGUAAGACAAGUUGAAGGUGAAAACCUGUGGCUCAACCAUAGGCUUGCCUACAAAACUGUUGAACUAGAGUACUGGAAAGGUGGGUGGAACUACACGAGUAGAGGUGAAAUUCGUAGAUAUGUGUAGGAAUGCCGAUGAUGAAGAUAACUCACUGGACAGAAACUGACGCUGAAGUGCGAAAGCUAGGGGAGCAUACAGG
Molecule: ribosomal RNA, 407 nt
Filed under: Verrucomicrobiota bacterium
Lineage: Bacteria; Pseudomonadati; Verrucomicrobiota
Description: Verrucomicrobia bacterium partial 16S ribosomal RNA
Rfam family: Bacterial small subunit ribosomal RNA
Source: RNAcentral